AUUUAUUUAUUGAUUUUUUUUAAUUGGAAAAAAAAAUCCGCUAUGGACUGAGGGUGCGAAGUUUGAAGCGGGAAGUAGCGAGGGAUCACUAUAUUGAAGUGAUUUUUAGAACUAGGAGAUGGAAUAGGGGCUUGCUCUGUCCACUCCAUGCAUCGACCUGGUAUUGCAGUACCUCCAGGGACAGUGCACCUCAC
This is a non-coding RNA of Nerophis lumbriciformis (worm pipefish), 194 nucleotides long. The record is from RefSeq and is a predicted model, not a curated record. NCBI's taxonomy places the organism in Eukaryota, Metazoa, Chordata, Actinopteri, Syngnathiformes, Syngnathidae.